This 786-nucleotide small RNA is filed under the name Pongo abelii (Sumatran orangutan). RNAcentral describes it as "processed transcript". Lineage: Eukaryota; Metazoa; Chordata; Mammalia; Primates; Hominidae. The record is from RNAcentral.
ACCCUUUGCUUCCUAGGAAACCCUGGAGGACAUCGACAAGAACGGGGAUGGGUUUGUGGAUCAGGAUGAGUAUAUUGACAAGGAAACUUCAGGCUCAGUCACUGAACUAAGUCAAAAGCCAGGAUUUAUCUUUUGGCUUCUAAACUCAGUUCUUUCUACUCCACCACAUGGCCUUCAUCAUGAAUAAAUUAUUGCAUCAUUAUCCCCAAGAAACUGCCUACCAGCUGUUUGAGUUAGGUCUCUGGAUUGGUCAUCGCCUUUCCUAGAGCUCAGGAGGUCAAGUUCUUUUUUUAGGGGGCGCUUACCUUCCCACUUUCCUUUGUAACCAACAACAACCUUCCCUUCUAGCGGAUAUGUUUUCCCAUGAGGAGAAUGGCCCUGAGCCAGACUGGGUUUUAUCAGAACGGGAGCAGUUUAAUGAAUUCCGGGAUCUGAACAAGGACGGGAAGUUGGACAAAGAUGAGAUUCGCCACUGGAUCCUCCCUCAAGAUUACGAUCAUGCACAGGCUGAGGCCAGGCAUCUGGUAUAUGAGUCAGACAAAAACAAGGAUGAGAAGCUAACUAAAGAGGAAAUAUUGGAGAACUGGAACAUGUUUGUUGGAAGCCAAGCUACCAAUUAUGGGGAAGAUCUCACAAAAAAUCAUGAUGAGCUUUGAUAGACACUCACCAGAAUAUGGCAGACUGUCAUAGGCAUUCUGUUAUUGUCUUGGAAUGUUGCUACAAUUGUCUAAUUUACAGCAGUUGUGAUCCCACAAAAAGCAAGUUUAUACCUCGGAUUGGGGUAUA